UGCUCGAGAACCACUCCUAGAGUCUUGAAAGCCUUCUCCGUUUUUGCCAACUAGUACUGGGCAUCUUCAAAAGAUGAUUCCCCUGCAAAAGUGGAAGGUUUCAAUCUCAUGUACCUCUCUACGUAGCUCGGGUCAAUCAAGGAAGGAGCUUGGUUCUGCGAAAGAGGAACUGGGCCAGGCUGAGGAUAAACUAGGGGGCUCUGUGGUGGUACUUGCUGGUAUGGUGGGGGCACCAGAUUAUACUGUGUGGUACAGGGUAGUAUUGCGGCUGAGGCACC
Molecule: long non-coding RNA, 278 nt
Filed under: Carica papaya (papaya)
Lineage: Eukaryota; Viridiplantae; Streptophyta; Magnoliopsida; Brassicales; Caricaceae
Description: long non-coding RNA (CPAP_LNC006096)
Source: RNAcentral